CUACGGGAUGCACCAGUGGGGAAUAUUGGACAAUGGGCGAAAGCCUGAUCCAGCGACGUCACGUGAAUGAUGAAGGCCUUAGGGUUGUAAAAUUCUUUUAGUGGAGAAGAUAAUGACGGUAUCCACAGAAAAAGUCCCGGCUAACUUCGUGCCAGCAGCCGCGGUAAUACGAAGGGGGCAAGCGUUACUCGGAAUUAUUGGGCGUAAAGCGUGCGUAGGCGGUUUUAUAAGUUGAAAGUGAAAGCCCUUGGCUCAACCAAAGAAUUGCUUACAAAACUGUAAAACUAGAGUAUUAGAGAGGAUAGAAGAAUUCCUGAUGUAGGGGUGAAAUCCGUAGAUAUCAGGAGGAAUAUCGAAGGCGAAAGCAUCUGUCUGGCUAAAUACUGACGCUGUUGCACGAAAGCGUGGGGAGCAAACAGGAUUAGAUACCCGGGUAGUC
Molecule: ribosomal RNA, 439 nt
Filed under: uncultured bacterium
Lineage: Bacteria
Description: partial 16S ribosomal RNA
Rfam family: Bacterial small subunit ribosomal RNA
Source: RNAcentral